GGCAACCGUCGAUAGGGGACCUCGNUGCUGGGUUACAAACCUGGCUGUUGGGCUGCCUAAAAAGCAGUCUAUAGCAAGGGCCGGGCAAGACCGGUGCCAGCCGCCGCGGUAACACCGGCGGCUCGAGUGGUAACCGCUAUUAUUGGGUCUAGAGGGUCUGUAGCCGGCCGACUAAGUCUCUUGGGAAAUCUGGCAUCUCAAGUGUAAGGCUGCCAGGGGAUACUGGUCGGCUUGGGACCGGGAGAGGUGAGAGGUACCUCGGGGGUAGGGGUGAAAUCUUGUAAUCCUCGAGGGACCACCAGUGGCGAAGGCGUCUCACCAGAACGGAUCCGACGGCAAGGGUCGAAAGCUAGGGGCACGAACCGGAUUAGAUACCCGGGUAGUCCUAGCCGUAAACGAUACUCGCUAGGUGUCGGCCACGGUGCGACCGUGGUCGGUGCCGUAGGGAAGCCGUGAAGCGAGCCACCUGGGAAGUACGGCCGCAAGGCUGAAACUUAAAGGAAUUGGCGGGGGAGCAC
This 518-nucleotide ribosomal RNA is filed under the name uncultured archaeon GA77. RNAcentral's name for it is "bacterial SSU rRNA". It matches the Rfam family "Archaeal small subunit ribosomal RNA", at positions 360 to 879 of the family's 1478-position model. The record is from RNAcentral.